CAAUUGGUUUUAUUGACGUUCGAGAAAAUUUGCGAAUUGCGUUUCCUGAGUUAAAGUGAAAAUUUCUAAUAAAAUUAGAGCAGAAUUUAGAGGAUAAUUUAGAUAUCAUUAAAGAUGUCUGUUAAUACAGCUCACGCCAAUAAUGGUGUUCUCAUUCACGCUGGAGAGUAUAUACUGCUGCACAGUGAUGGCGUUACUAUGGAUUUCUCGGGACAGGACAAUCCUGUGUUUAAAGGCUCAAAGCAAGGACGUAUUUACCUGACAUCGCAUCGCCUGAUUUUUAACAACAAAAAGCCGGCUGAUCAAUUGCAAUCCUUUAGUGCACCAUUUGUUGCGCUAUCAGAUGUUGAAUUGGAGCAGCCAGUUUUUGGUGCUAACUACAUCAAGGGCAAAGUGCGUGCACAACCGAAUGGCAAUUUCAUUGGUGAGGUAAAAUUCAAAUUACACUUUAAAUCUGGUGGAGCUAUCGAAUAUGGUCAGGCAUUGCUACGUGCUGCUAGUACAGCACAAAGUAAUUAUCAUCGUGGUGGCGCACCCAAUGAUGAUCCACCACCGUAUACACCGGCAGGUGCUUGGCAUGAAGCACCACCACCAGCUUACCAACCACCACCAGGUUACUAUGGUUGGUUGCCAACACAUGAAGCGUUUAGCGGCCCAGCAAAUGGCACGGUGUUCGUGAGCGAUAAUCCACCACCAUAUCCAGGCAUUGGUGGACCACCAACUUAUGCACCACAACAAUAUCCGCAACCCGGAUAUGCACCACAACAACCGUAUGGUGGUUAUAAUCCACAGCCCGGUUAUAACCCGCAAUCCGGUUAUAAUCCACAACCCGGUUAUAAUCCGCAACAAGCUUAUAAUCCGCAACCCGGUUAUAAUCCUCAACAACCGCAAGGUGGUAGCAAUGAUGCACCUGCCUGGAAUGGUUUUUCUGCACCACCAACUGCGGAUGCACAACAGCAACCGUCACCUGGAAAUCAGCCACCACCGUAUGCAGCCGGUGGUUAUGGGCAGCCAGGCGCUUAUCAACCGGGUGCACCCGGUGGCUACAAUCCAUCUUAUAAUCCAGGUUACAAUCCUGGCUACCAACCAGGCCAUUAUCCACCUCCUGGCGGCGCACCAGGUGGUGCUGCAGCUGGCGCAAUGGGUUUCAGCAUGCCACCAGCAAUGUUUUAAAGUGUGCUCCACAAGUAUGCAACAGCAAAAAUAAUAAAUAAAAUUCAGUGAAUAUUACACCGUCGAAAAAAAGCAUAUACAUAUAUAUGUAUGUACGUCACAAAAAAUCAAAUCCCUAACUCAGAUUCAAAGGAAGCCGAGGCCAUGGCUAGUGCUCAAAAUACGACAUACAAUCAAUAUUCUAAUAAUGCUGCGCCAAGCGACUUGCCACCAGCAUAUGAUGCUUUACAACCCAACUAUGGCAGCGCAAAUAAGAAGAAUCAAUAAACGCUCUAGUAUGCUUUUUUCGAAAUUUGAUUUUAUUAAAAUAUCUAAACAACACACAAAAAUGUGUCACAACUUGCAAGUGUAUGGACGCUAAAAUGGUAUGAAUAUUCAAAAAAAUUCUUAUGAGAUGCAGUUGCCUGGCUAGCGACAUAACACAAUGCAUAUUGCAAUUUGCAUAUCGAAUGCAUUCCGCUGAGCUCUACAAUAACGUAAUACUUAAUUAAAAUAACCACCACAACCCCCUAUAUUAUUCAUAUAUAUGUGUUAAACAAAUAUUAUGAUGUAAAAGAUAUUAUACAUAUAUAUAUAAACACAUACCUAUUUAAUUCAUAUAUUGUCUUACGUUUUUAUAAAGUAGUCUUGGCAUACGAGAAAUAGUAAAAUCUAUAAAAAUGAUAGUAAAUACGUACAUACAUACAAUAGUGUGUACUCUAAAGGCUUAAAAAAUAGUAUAUCGGCUUAGAAACAACAAAACAAUCUGUAGCGAAUUGUAAAAAUUCCAAAUAAUAUUUUAAAUUUGGCCAGUAUUCUUUUGAAAACUAUGCAGUAUGUCAAAAAAAAAAAAAA
RNA transcript from Ceratitis capitata (Mediterranean fruit fly), 2007 nucleotides. It is a transcript of the gene named WW domain-binding protein 2, with no coding region annotated. The record is from RefSeq and is a predicted model, not a curated record. NCBI's taxonomy places the organism in Eukaryota, Metazoa, Arthropoda, Insecta, Diptera, Tephritidae. The transcript has 7 exons.